This 1992-nucleotide long non-coding RNA is filed under the name Chinchilla lanigera (long-tailed chinchilla). Its description in RNAcentral is "lncRNA (ENSCLAG00000024675.1)". Lineage: Eukaryota; Metazoa; Chordata; Mammalia; Rodentia; Chinchillidae. The record is from RNAcentral.
CCCUACUGUGCGCUGGGCAUUACCAGCCCUGGAGACAAAGGCACAGAGUGGGUGAGGGGCCCAGGUGAGCACACAGGAAAGACAGGUAAACAACUGGUAUCUCUUAAGGGUUCAGUAUGAACAGGCGGUCCCAGGGAGCAGAUAAAAUGCUCACCACUGGGGUAGAGGAAGAAGAUGAGGCAGAAGAGAUGCAGAGACCAUGUCACAAAGAGGUCUGGCACAUCACGGAAGAUGGGUGUGGUCUCCCCAGCGGCAGGAAGCCGGGCUGGUAAAGCAGAAAAGGGUGGCAGUGGCCCGCUCAGAGCCAGUUUGCAGGGAGAGGCUGAGGAAACAAGUGCAGAGCUGGCUUCGCCAUGCCGUCAGAAAUGACUGCGCAGCCCACGAGGGAUAAGAAGGAAGGCAAGGGGCCAUCUGUAAGGGCCAGCUGUGCCAACACGAGAUGGCCCUCCAGCGUGACUGCCUGAAACUCUUCCGAGGCCACGCCCGGGCACAGGCCACGCUGAACCUUGAACCUCUUGCAGGGGUCCAGCCUGUCUCUGGCCCGCACUGAUGCCAUGUCUUCACUGGGCUGGGCCCCAGCUCUGCGACUUAACUUCUCCAAGCACAGCAUCCUCCUCUGUGGAAUGACGACCAAGGAUGAAAGGACCAUUUACCCCAUGAAAUGGAGGGAGAAAGAAAGUGAGACAGCUUGAAGAUGUUUGGCACGGGGCUUGAGACAUUAAGAAGAAAGAAGAAAUGGCAGCUGCUGUCCGUUAUGGCCGCCCCCAAAUGCGGUGAGGUUACUGUGCCCUGCGGUGAUCUGGAACAAACUCCUGCGCAGGGCUCACAACUGAAGAUGCCACCCUGUGAGGAGGCUGCUGCACAUCUGGCCCAGGAGAGAAGAGCAUCCUGCCAACGUCCAGUGCUUCCUUCUACAAAUGGGAAACGAAUGUGCACAUCUGCCAUCUAUGCCAUAUUUGUUUUGUUUUGUUUUUUUCCGAUACUGGGAAUCGAACUCACGACCUUGUGCUUGCCAGCUGCUGGACGCUGGCACCCCUCUGCUGCCAUAAAAAUAUCAGCACUGCCACCCCAGCUCCUGGAGGAAGUCUCAGUAUGACAGCCUGCAAAGUGAUCCUGCAUCUGAAUUUCAUCGACAAAUCCUGGUUUCCUCCAGACAAGUGCAAACCUGCACAGAUGGCCCCUCACACCAAAAAGUAAAAAUAACAAAGCUUGCAAUCCUGGGCCUCGCUUUUUCUCUGGGCAGAUGUGCCGGCUGCACAUUUUGGGAGGCGCACCGUCUGCAGCCCAGCAGCAGCCUCUCUCCUCCUGUGCAUCCUUACUCCCCUUCUGGCUUGCUGGUGGGUAGCAGCUGUGGCCGUUUAGGGUGUAUUCUUGGAAGCACACAGAGUGCCUGUGCCCUAGAAACGAGGCUGAGGCAUCCAAAAGGAUGCAUUAGUGCUCACCUGACUCCCUAAGACUGGCCGUGUUGUCACCCCCGCAAUACCCAGGGAAGGGGCUGAAAGGCUGCCGAUCAGCCGAAGUGGAAGGCAAGGAGCUGCCGUGCUAUGGGACAGUACAGGCUAAGGGCGGAUGGCAGUGUGGGAAAGGAAGCACUGGGGGAUCCUGACUUUUUGAACCUUACAAACCCCAACAAAGCACAGGAGCUUCCAGGACUCAUGAACUCUUUCCACAAACAUGGGCUGAGAUGCUCCAUUCUACGGCCUGUGGAUUUUGCUACGUAAAAGAAAAACCCAGAAAGCAGAUGUCCAGAGAACACAGUCACAAACCCCUGUGGGCUGGGUGGCUACAGAUUCACUGGCCAGGAGGCCCAGGCAGCAGCAGCCCAAGUCAGAGACAUCACAGGAGAUGCUCGCAGGCCAGUUCCACCUCAGAUGAGCCAUAUGACCUGGAGCCUCCGGUCUCAUUUAGAAAUGAUGGCUACUGUCUCUAGUUAACCAGAGGUUCAGAUGAGAUAAAGUGUAGCUGUAAAUAAAGCACAAUUUAAACUGCUAG